This 279-nucleotide long non-coding RNA is filed under the name Carica papaya (papaya). Its description in RNAcentral is "long non-coding RNA (CPAP_LNC005697)". The record is from RNAcentral. Lineage: Eukaryota; Viridiplantae; Streptophyta; Magnoliopsida; Brassicales; Caricaceae.
GGGAUGAUCUAUUUGAAAAGAAAUUGAGAAAAUAAGGGUCAACUCGCAAAAAGGGAAAGAGAGGGCCACUUCAGCAGCAUGGCGAACCAAAACGCGCUGCGUGGCAACAGCAUCAGCAUGUGUUUCCACACGGGAAGCCAGGUUUGCAAUUUGCAUGCUAAACGGAUUGAAUGGCCCACAUCCAUUCCCCCUCGCAUGAACGGUCGGAUUGCAAAUCCCACCGAGAUUCAAACAGAGGGUCCUGGUUAGCCACGUGAAGAUCCAAUGAUUGAAUGAUGA